Molecule: ribosomal RNA, 253 nt
Filed under: uncultured bacterium
Lineage: Bacteria
Description: partial 16S ribosomal RNA
Rfam family: Bacterial small subunit ribosomal RNA
Source: RNAcentral
UACGUAGGGUGCAAGCGUUGUCCGGAAUUAUUGGGCGUAAAGAGCUCGUAGGCGGUCUGUUGCGUCGGCUGUGAAAACCCGGGGCUCAACUCCGGGCCUGCAGCCGAUACGGGCAGACUAGAGUUCGGCAGGGGAGACUGGAAUUCCUGGUGUAGCGGUGAAAUGCGCAGAUAUCAGGAGGAACACCGGUGGCGAAGGCGGCUUUCUGGACAGAAACUGACGCUGAUGCGCGAAAGCUAGGGGAGCAAACAGG